AGAUGGAGACAUCCAGUAUGGUUUUCCGUAAAGGGAGACCAGCGAGGCCCAGAGAGAGAGGCACGGGCUGAGUUAGAUGGAGACAUCCAGUAUGGUUUUCCGUAAAGGGAGACCAGCGAGGCCCAGAGAGAGAGGCACGGGCUGAGUUAGAUGGAGACAUCCAGUAUGGUUUUCCGUAAAGGGAGACCAGCGAGGCCCAGAGAGAGAGGCACGGGCUGAGUUAGAUGGAGACAUCCAGUAUGGUUUUCCGUAAAGGGAGACCAGCGAGGCCCAGAGAGAGAGGCACGGGCUGAGUUAG
This is a long non-coding RNA of Carassius gibelio (silver crucian carp), 298 nucleotides long. RefSeq lists it as uncharacterized. The transcript is spliced from 4 exons. The record is from RefSeq and is a predicted model, not a curated record. NCBI's taxonomy places the organism in Eukaryota, Metazoa, Chordata, Actinopteri, Cypriniformes, Cyprinidae.